AUGUUGGGAAGACUACUCUGGCUAAGGCUGUGUUCAAUGUCCCCUAAAAAAAGGCUGUGUUCAAUGAACCCACAGUAUCGGAGGAUUUUGAUAUACUAUUGUGGGUCUAUGUCGCUGCCUAUUGUUUUUUUCGAAACGGAAGCUGUCUAUUGUGGGUUAUACACGCAAUGUUGGAGUCCUUACUAG
Molecule: ribosomal RNA, 186 nt
Filed under: Triticum aestivum (bread wheat)
Lineage: Eukaryota; Viridiplantae; Streptophyta; Magnoliopsida; Poales; Poaceae
Description: partial small subunit ribosomal RNA
Source: RNAcentral